UGCUGAUUCACUCAGUUCUUGAAGAAAAAAAAAAUCAAUUGUGUCAGAUCAUCUGGCUGUAUGAUAGGAAGCACUGUGGGAACAAGUCAAUUCGAUGUUAAUUUAGUACCUUGUAUUUGACACUGCUUGACACAGAUCUAAAUUUUACUUUCUGGCUCCAUGAGACAGCCAUGAUGAGCUGUGCUUCCGUCAUUUCACUACUGCUCUUGCUAACACCACCUCUCUCACCACAACCACAGUGACCGGUACUGCUUCGUCUACAACUUCUAGCUGACAAAGGCAUCCAGAAACGGCUUAUUGUCUGUUGUUACCACAAACUGAAGGAAGGUGAGGAUUCUGCAAAUUGAUCAGCCUCCUGGAUGCCAGCAGAGUCCUGGUCCUCAUCUGUUGGUGGCAGCAUAGGACAGCCCGACAUUGAAUGCUGCAGCCCGAGAGUUCCUUUAUCUACUUACCCUCGGCCCAGUGAUGGCUAAGAGCUAGAGGAAAGUACAUGGUUGGGGAUGACUAUGAACUGAAGAGCAGAGGACAUAGACCAUCUAAAGGGAACACCAUCUGCCAGGUAAGAUAUGACUGCUCUUUUAGAUCAUUGCACCCAGUUUUUAGACCUUCUGAUUCUCUACCUCCCCCCCCCCAAAAAAAAAGAAAGGAAAGAAGGAAAGAGAGAGAGAAAGCCAAGACAGAGACAUGUAUACAUACAUACAGAUAGACAUUCCAACUUUAAUACUGAAUCUCCUUAUUUAAAAAUAUUAGCAAGCAUUAAAAAAAAAAAACCUAUACAGGAGAAACAAACAUAUCUGCUCCCUUUCUUUGGUAUUUUCAUAGAACUCAAGAAGAGCAGUACUAAUGUUUACUGUCAUUGGGUUUCUGAUGUCCACUGUGUGAAACCUGUAUAGUAAUUUUCACAAUAGUUUUCCCCCAGAUCUCAGCUGAUAGGUUAUCCUUGGGAUUUUUUGUCUUAUGAAUUUGUAUGUUUGUUUGUGGGUCUUAAAUUUUAUCUGAACACAAGUUAUUUUGGUAAAUAUAUGUUAUUUAAAACAGUAUUUGGUGUAUAGUAAGCAAUGUUUAAAUGUUAACUAUUAUUAGUAGAAAGAUCUACAAGGUAUUUUCUGUAGGAAUUGUAAAUUAAUGUUCUAAUUAUUCUAUCAUGUUAUCCCAAAGAAAAUCACCUUUUUUUUCAUUUUCAAAAAAUUCAAGAAGUAUUUGAAUAUAUCUUUAAAAUUCUUUUGAUAUCCAGAAAUAGCUCUACUUUAUUUAAGGCUUUAAUGUGCAAAAAAUCCAAAGAGAACUUUGCUAGUUUGCAAGCUUAUUUUUCUUACGUUUUGCGUUUAUAUUAAAAUAACCUGCACAGCUUCAUUUCUUAUCUAGGUUGCUCACAGCUGGGCAGGCUUGGGGGAUUUUACCUUUGCAUCUGAGAGUACAAAUGUAUCUAUCAAUAUUCUAUUUCCCAAAGGCACGUAAUAUUCAUGAAUAAUCACAAUUAUCACAGGAAUGUUUAGAGGUUAUGACUGAGCCAUUCCUCCACAACUGCUGUAAAGAAAUUUGUAUUGGAAAAUAUGGCGCUUGAUGGUACCAGUCUAGUCCAGGGCCCACCUUCCCAUCUUCAAACCAGCAAUGAAGUGUUCUGCCUCCUUCCUUAUCUUGCAUUCACUUCUUCUUUAAGACUCCCAGUCUCUCCUUUGAGCAUCAAAAUCUUUCUCAUUUUCAGUGUUAGUUUCAGAUCCUGUUUCUUCCAGGUAAGUGUUUCUCUCCAUCAAAGUUAUAAUCGUCCUGUGUUAGUCUUAAUGUUUCCUUCUGGAAGUCCUCGAAUACAUUUUAGCCUUUAUUAGUGUCUGUUAGUCAUACAUGCCAAGGGAGCUUCAUUGUGACAUUUUCAUACAUUUCUGUAGUAAAUUUUGACCACAGUCACCCCACUGUCUCCUCUUUCUCUUGUAUUUUUGAAGCUAUUCACCAAGGCCUUACUAUGCAUAUAACUUUUACGACUCUCUACUGUGCCUUUAUGAUGUUCUAUAAUUUGCACAUAUAUCGUGAAGCUUCAUUCCCAUGUAAAUAAAUCACCUUUCUGCCUUGGUUUCGAAGUAUUGGCAUCAUGCUAACUACAUGAUUAUUCUUAGCCAUAAAGCCUCCUAGAGCCUUCAGGUGCAGUGCCACCUCUCAUGUUUCCCUUCUGUAACACGUGAGUUGAACACAAAAUAAUACUGAAUGAACUAUUCAAAAUUAUAUAAUCAGUUUAACAUGAAAUUUUCAUACCUUUUAUCUCACAAAAUUUUCCCUCUGUUUAGUGAUGUUCUUAAUAAUAAUGUUGAGUUCUUGCUUAAUUCUUGAAGUUUCCAGAUAGUUUGGGAGAUUAAAUUCAGAUUGUGAAAUUUAUCAUUGCCACACUUUCUGAUAGAAGGCUGCCUUGGUUUCUUUUCAAUUGCUGUAAAAAUACACACACACACACACACACACACACACACACACACACACAGUGUCCAAUGAAAUGUAUAAAAGAGUUCAUUUGAGGCUUAUAGUUUCAGAGGGAUAGAGUUCAUAGCCAAUGCUAUUGUCUUCUGAAGACAUAGGUGAUACAUGGAGACAAACAUCCCCAAAGUCAAUGCUCAUGUAAUGGUGAACUGAUGUGUGUUUCCCUGUCUCACUCCUCAUGAUGUCAGACAUUCCUGCUUGUCUGGUAUUGAACUCAUCCAUGUGUGUUGUCCCUGUGUGAUUAUUAACAGUGAUCCAUUUAACAUUUAUUUUACAAUGUGUCAAUUUAGAUAUUAAAUAAUAAUUGUCUCUCUGCAUUUUGAUGUCCUUGUAUCUAUUAUUGCCAAAUAUUAGUGUGGUACUGAAGACCUGUAAACUGAGAAUAUGUAAGUAAAUUGUAAUGAAGAGCAGACUUCUUCUGUAGAGCUAAAAUUUCUUUGAUGUUGCACUUUGUGGCAUUUAAUAAAUGACCCUCCAAGCAGAGUAUGUCAUUUUCUUUGUCAAGCAUGCUUAAUGACUCUGUAAAGGUUAUAACUGUGUAUAUGAAGUGGUCAGAUGAUUGGUAGGUAUACAGAUUAAUGCUAUUAUGGGAACAGCACAACAAUAAUUUAGAGCCUAGGGAACCAAAAGUCUUUGGAAGCCUUAGCUAACAAUGAGAAAUUCCUGAAUAGAACAGUCUAAUAAAUGGACCUCUUCAGAAACUUUCUGACUCCCUAUAGACCCCCAAGUUCAAGUAAAGUAUCUGGGCAUUCCUUUUUAGGUGAACCCUAUAAUUGGCGUUGCUCAGAUCAUCUUGCUAAUAAUUACCAGGAUUCAAGAUUUAGUGUAUUUUCUCUGAGCUCCACAUGACAGGAACGUUACUUACUUAUCUUUCCAGUGCUCUUUCCCUUGUUCAUCUAUCUCAGGAAUUAAUAAUAAUAAUAAAAAAAGCAAACAAGCAAACAAAACCAAAAUCAAAACCAAAAAGAACCCUCCAAAACAAACAAACAGACAAACAAACAAAACAAAGCAAAACAGAACAAAAUGAAACAAAACAAAACCCUGCUAAUGGUUGUCAUGUUCCAGGCUCUGAAGCUAUUAUUCAAAGUACCCAGCAUGAGGCCUGUUUAGCUUCCCUCUGUACUCCUUUCCUUGAAUGCUAUAAUAAAGGCUUAUUUCCCAUCAGUGCAAAAACACAGCUCUACCUUCUAAAGGAAUAAGAGUAGUUAUUCUAGAGUGACACAUGCAUGACCAUGGCCUGGGAACAUGGAUUUAGAGCACCCCUACUGCUAUCUUUCAAUGUGGUAAUAAUCCUACAAUAUUCUCAUAGUUUCAGAACAACAACAAAAGUCAUACAUCAAAUCUAUGGGAGAAGCGUGAAGCAGGCAGGUUGCAACAAAGUAGGGAAGUCUCUGCUCUAGUUAGGUGCUGCAGACAUUCCUAGCACUUGGGUUGGUGAAAGAGAAGGGCUCUGUUAGUAGAUUUUGGACAAACACAGGACUUACCAAAAAGAAUUUGGCUUCACAUCUGCAACUUUCUAACAUUCCAUAAUCAGCAAUCAAUUGAUCAGUCAGUCAAUCAUCCUCAAAUAAUCUUUAAUCUUUGCAUAGGUAUGACAUCCUCUGGGAAUUUCAGUUCACUCUCCAUAUAUUUCACUUGUUCUCUUAGCCU
Long non-coding RNA from Mus musculus (house mouse), 4113 nucleotides. RefSeq annotates it as predicted gene, 32870. NCBI's taxonomy places the organism in Eukaryota, Metazoa, Chordata, Mammalia, Rodentia, Muridae. The transcript has 3 exons. The record is from RefSeq and is a predicted model, not a curated record.